This 1566-nucleotide ribosomal RNA is filed under the name Candidatus Atribacteria bacterium. Its description in RNAcentral is "bacterial SSU rRNA". It matches the Rfam family "Bacterial small subunit ribosomal RNA". Lineage: Bacteria; Pseudomonadati; Atribacterota; Atribacteria. The record is from RNAcentral.
AAACUGAGAGAGUUUGAUCCCAGCUCAGGAUGAACGCUAGCGGUGCGCUUAACACAUGCAAGUCGUGCGAUCGAACCAGACGGAUUUCCCUUCGGGGUCUGAAGGCUGGUCACGGAGCGGCGAACUGGUGAGUAACACGUGGCUAACCUGCCCUCUUGACGGGGACAACCUACCGAAAGGGAGGCUAAUACCCGAUGUUGUGCGGAGUCUAUGGCUCCGCUCCAAAGACGGUCCUGCCGUCGCAAGGGGAGGGGGCUGCGUCCUAUUAGCUUGUUGGUAGGGUAAUGGCCUACCAAGGCGAUAAUGGGUAGCUGGUCUGAGAGGACGAUCAGCCACAUUGGGACUGAGAUACGGCCCAGACUCCUACGGGAGGCAGCAGUGGGGAAUAUUGGACAAUGGACGAAAGUCCGAUCCAGCGACACCGCGUGGGGGAUGAAGGCUUUCGGGUCGUAAACCCCUUUUCUGGGGGAAGAAUAAGGCUGGGAGGAAAUGCCCAUCCGAUGACGGUACUCCAGGAAUAAGCAUCGGCAAACUUCGUGCCAGCAGCCGCGGUAAGACGAAGGAUGCAAGCGUUAUCCGGAAUUACUGGGCGUAAAGGGCGUCUAGGCGGUUGGAUAAGUCAUUUGUGAAAUCCCAGGGCUUAACCCUGGAAGGUCUUGUGAUACUGUCCAGCUUGGGUGUAGGAGAGGAGAGCGGAACUCACAGAGUAGCGGUGGAAUGCGUAGAUACUGUGAGGUACCCCGAUGGCGAAGGCAGCUCUCUGGCCUAUUACCGACGCUGAAGCGUGAAAGCGUGGGGAGCAAAGGGGAUUAGAUACCCCCGUAGUCCACGCCCCAAACGAUGUUCACUUGGUGUCGGGAGCCUAUAUAUCUCGGUGCCGUAGCUAACGCGUUAAGUGAACCGCCUGAGGAGUACGGCCGCAAGGCUAAAACUCAAGAGAAUUGACGGGUCCCCGCACAAGCGGUGGAGCACGUGGUUUAAUUCGAUGAUAAGCGAAGAACCUCACCUGGGCUUGACAUACUAGUGGUAAGAACCGGAAACGGUGAUGACCCUGCCUUCGGGUAGGGAGCUAAUACAGGUGAUGCAUGGCUGUCGUCAGCUCGUGUCGUGGGAUGUAGGGUUAAGUCCCGAAACGAGCGCAACCCUUGUCACUAGUUGCCAGCGGAUAAUGCCGGGGACUCUAGUGAGACUGCUGGUGAAUAGCCGGAGGAAGGCGGGGAUGACGUCAAGUCAUCAUGUCCCUUAUGCCCAGGGCGACACACAUGCUACAAUGGGAGGUACAGAGGGUCGCGAAGCCGCAAGGUGAAGCCAAUCUCAUAAAGCCUCCCCCAGUUCGGAUUGUGGUCUGCAACUCGACCACAUGAAGUCGGAAUCGCUAGUAAUCGCGGGUCAGCCAUACCGCGGUGAAUAUGUACUCGGGGAUUGUACACACCGCCCGUCACACCAACCGAGUGGGGGGUACCUGAAGUCGCUCUUUUGAGGGCGCCUAAGGUAACCUUCGCAAGAGGGGUGAAGUCGUAACAAGGUAGCCGUAGGAGAACCUGCGGCUGGAUCACCUCCUUUCUA